CUCCUGAAAGCGCACGCACACGCGGACAUCUCCUUCUUCUCUCUCUCAACACGCACGAACUCCUCCUGACCAGCGUUGGCCGCUGCCGAUCUGGACUCUCCGGCUCCCGUGGUCCCCCCCCCAUCUCGCGCUGCUAAGGGAAGGAAGGGCAUGGCCCUGCGAGCGGCCACGACGAGGCUCGCGUCCUCCAUCCGCCGCCACAGCCACCUCCCAAUGUCCGAGUUGCUGCUCCCGUGUCAUGAUUGGAGACCGUGUCCUUUUCCAACUGCAAUCAAUGGAUUUCCCUACCCGGAUUUGAGUCGCCUGGUAUAAGAAGGAAGGGUCCUCGGCCGGAAUCUCCAUCAGGUUGCGUCCUUGGACCAGAAGCUCCAUCAAAUCCCGUCGAAAUUGCAAUUUUCCUCGAAACAUCCAAUGUCGCCGCCGAGUUCGCUGGAGGAAGAAACGCCGAGUUCGCCGGAGGAAUAAGAACGUCCGUCCAACCGUCCAAUGUCGCUGCCGGUGGCUACACCAGAGGUAUAUAUCCCCUUGAUAUUCAUUGGAUGCAAUUCCCUGUUUUAGAUGUUGUUUCUGUCCCCUGCCAUUGACUACGCAACAAGGGAUGGAACCUGAGGCACAUCCGCUAUGGUGCUGAGAAGGAGGCAGCUGUGGCACCCGACAAAUGUUGGACUCAGCUUUGAUGCUCAAUUAGGGCGGCCACACACAUGACUCUGCCCAAGAUUCAACUGCAGGUGGCUCGGAUAAAAAGGAUUGCAACAUAGAACUGUUGAUAGGAUGGUUAGUUUUGGAAGGGGAAUGGUAGUAUGAGCAGAGAUUGAAAACAAGGCUGCAGUGCAAACACUCUUGCUCAACCAAUUUAAGCUCAGCGUCAGCUGUUGAUUAAACAUUGGAUAUACUCCCCUAAAUGACAUCGUUGCACUACACUGGACCUGACGAGGAGGGGAUCCAGCUAGCUGUCUGAUGGCACUUCCACAUGUAUAAGCUUUGAGCUUAGGUUGUAUUUCUGAGGGGAGCAUACUUAUUAUUACCUUAAUUGGGUUUGACUUUUGGCUACUGUAUUGCUGUCACAACUUACCUGCGAAAUAGAAAGAGAGUCAUGUUUGAUAAGGAUAUGUACCGAGUAAUGAGUAUGUACAGAAGUGUUGGUUCUUGGUUCUUGCAUGGAGGUGAGCAAUUAUGGGUUGCAAACGUUGUUGCUGCCCAUCACCUGGUCCAAUUGAAGCACAACCAGUAGGCUGCCUUGAAUAAAGGAGUUCUCAAAGAUGAUGUCUUUUAGCACGACCAUUUUUAUUGAUUUAGUUUCUGUACAAUUUUGGGGCAUCCAAACUUGGAAAGUUUCAUCCUUCAAGUUAAAUUGGGACAAUCCGUUCAUUAAUUUCAGCAAAAAAAUAUUGGUAUUGUUCUUCCCAUUUUUAUUCACAUCCGUAGAAAUAUAGGUUUAAUGAUGACUCUGCAAUUUUCCUAUUAGUAUGCAUGAUUUUUCUUUUUGAUUGCUCACCCUCGUACUUUUUGCAGUAAGAUCAUAAAUGACAAUUAUAACGGUGGCGAUUUUUACCAUCAAUUCCUUAUUUUUCACUUCUCUCACACUCAUGAUAGGUUGAUAUAUAUUUCUAGUUAUCUUUACAUCUUCAGUAUGUUGAUGUAGCUCCAAUCUCAUGAUACAAUCAAUUCAUUUUCUGCAGCCCAUCUCAUGCAGGCAGAUGGGGCGAUACAUUCAUGAGCUUGCCACUAUGCUUAACUAGCUUGUUCAACUUCUCUUGUGAGAUCAAAUUACUUUGAUGUGAAUUUUCAUAGCUCUUUGUGCUCUUUCCUUCUUGCUGAACCAAUGUUUCCUCAUGAGGUGACCCUGAUUAUGUGGACCCUGAUUUGACUUGGAGUCUGCCUUAACUAACACCUCUGAUAUUUAGAUAGAGACAAGGGGACGGGUGAAUCCUGCGGAGGAGGACGAGGUCACAAGGAGGCGUACGCCAAGGCCGAUCCCAUCAGGAACUACAUCUACCGCCGUCGCCUCUCCUGUGAGCGUCUGGGAGCCCCUCCUCGGCUCCUCCCACAAACACAUAGCGGCGUCUUAAGCACGUCCGCCGCUCGUUGCCGCCGGCUGGUCGUCGUCUCCCUCACCGGCAUCCCAACGAAUCCAUCGGCAGUAGCCUUCCUCUCUUCGAUCUUGACGUCCGUUUCGUUCGUCGUUAUCCAGCCCCCUGCUCCCUGAGACGGCAAGGAGAUGGCGCUGCCGAGAUUAGGUCAAGCGCGACAAAGCAUACCAGACCCGAUCCAGCACCAUCCUCCCUGCUGUGGCAAGGAGACGGGCGCUUCACAGGCGAGGUCGGGCCCGAUGAAGUAGGCUGGAUCGAUCUCAUGCACGUACCAGUCGGGCCCGACUACUACUAAACCCCAUCCAUGGAUGCAAGGUCUCCGUGCUCAUCGUCGACGGCUGCACCCUGGCCAAGUCGCUCAUCAUUCGCGAGUACAUCCAUACCGCUUGACGGUGCAGCUGACAUGUACGAGGGUGCCGACGCUUGACGGAGACGAGAGCACAGAAGAGGUUGCCGCCAUCAAACCCCGUCAGAGCAUGCCACGCCGACCCACGGAAGCAGGCCGCCAUCGUUGAACCUGGCCAGCCACGAUAGUGCAUGAAUAAGGGCGCCGCAAUCGAACCGGCAUGCUGCGUGCGUGAAGCCAUGGAGUACCAAGGUGCAGGCCAGCGUGCAUUGUGUUCACCCCGGGGGUAAAGCUCGGUGAUGGAAGCUGCCAUGCUACAAGAUGCAUGUUGCACAUCCGCGUGGCGAUCAUGCACGCAUAUGCUCUCAUAGCCAGGUGCGGUCGCAUGAGCUCCUGGGCGGCGUAGAUAUACAGCGAGCAUGCAUGUAGUACGCACAAAGCAUCAGCAUGACUGACAGUUCUUUUGUCGGAAGAGCCUGACAAAUAGUUGUAGCUCCUCAACUGAUCUAUGUCUAAAGUUUCAAAGCAAGGAUCAAUAUGCAAGUAAAAAAUAAAAAAUCAAGGAUCAAUAUGGCAGCUAUAUUUACACUGCUAAAAUUUCAAUUUACUCUGACCGAUGUUGCGUGUUUGUCCAGCUGUUUUGUAGCUAGAUACAGACAGACAGGUCUCAUGCUUAGGCAUUUGACACGAACGAUGGAAAUUUAACGCAGAAACUCAAUGAGACCAUGACUAACUACCGUUACAUGAAAUUACUGGCUACUGCAUUCUAUUGAUCAUGCAUGGCUACUGAAUUCUUAAAUUUAUUUAUGUUACUAUCAGCUAGCUCAAGUAUGUAUGACUGUAGGAGCUCAGGAAUACUCUUACUAUGUCUUUGAUUUUGUUAAAGACCCAAUAUAUGAUGAGGUGCUGCCUCUCCUGAUGCCGAGCUAUUUAAAAUUUGGUAUUUCA
Long non-coding RNA from Triticum urartu, 3384 nucleotides. RefSeq lists it as uncharacterized. The record is from RefSeq and is a predicted model, not a curated record. Lineage: Eukaryota; Viridiplantae; Streptophyta; Magnoliopsida; Poales; Poaceae.